RNAcentral lists this ribosomal RNA (1348 nucleotides) under uncultured bacterium. Its description in RNAcentral is "bacterial SSU rRNA". It matches the Rfam family "Bacterial small subunit ribosomal RNA", at positions 39 to 1387 of the family's 1533-position model. The record is from RNAcentral.
GCGGCGUGCUUAACACAUGCAAGUCGAACGAAGCACUUAUCUUUGAUUCUUCGGAUGAAGAGGUUUGUGACUGAGUGGCGGACGGGUGAGUAACGCGUGGGUAACCUGCCUCAUACAGGGGGAUAACAGUUAGAAAUGACUGCUAAUACCGCAUAAGACCACGGAGCCGCAUGGCUCAGUGGGAAAAACUCCGGUGGUAUGAGAUGGACCCGCGUCUGAUUAGGUAGUUGGUGGGGUAACGGCCUACCAAGCCAACGAUCAGUAGCCGACCUGAGAGGGUGACCGGCCACAUUGGGACUGAGACACGGCCCAAACUCCUACGGGAGGCAGCAGUGGGGAAUAUUGCACAAUGGGGGAAACCCUGAUGCAGCGAUGCCGCGUGAGCGAAGAAGUAUUUCGGUAUGUAAAGCUCUAUCAGCAGGGAAGAAAAUGACGGUACCUGACUAAGAAGCACCGGCUAAAUACGUGCCAGCAGCCGCGGUAAUACGUAUGGUGCAAGCGUUAUCCGGAUUUACUGGGUGUAAAGGGAGCGUAGACGGCUGUGUAAGUCUGAAGUGAAAGCCCGGGGCUCAACCCCGGGACUGCUUUGGAAACUAUGCAGCUAGAGUGUCGGAGAGGUAAGUGGAAUUCCCUAGUGUAGCGGUGAAAUGCGUAGAUAUUGGGAGGAACACCAGUGGCGAAGGCGGCUUACUGGACGAUGACUGACGUUGAGGCUCGAAAGCGUGGGGAGCAUACAAGGUUAGAUACCCUGGUAGUCCACGCCGUAAACGAUCUUAAAGGGUGUCGGGGAGCAAAAGCUUUUCGGUGCCGCAGCAAACGCAAUAAGUAGUCCACCUGGGGAGUACGUUCGCAAGAAUGAAACUCAAAGGAAUUGACGGGGACCCGCACAAGCGGUGGAGCAUAUGGUUUAAUUCGAAGCAACGCGAAGAACCUUACCUGCUCUUGACAUCCCGGUGACCGGCAUGUGAUGAUGCCUUUUCUUCGGAACACCGGUGACAGGUGGUGCAUGGUUGUCGUCAGCUCGUGUCGUGAGAUGUUGGGUUAAGUCCCGCAACGAGCGCAACCCUUAUCUUCAGUAGCCAGCAAUUCGGAUGGGCACUCUGGAGAGACUGCCAGGGAUAACCUGGAGGAAGGUGGGGAUGACGUCAAAUCAUCAUGCCCCUUAUGAGCAGGGCUACACACGUGCUACAAUGGCGUAAACAAAGGGAAGCGAGCCUGCGAGGGUAAGCAAAUCUCAAAAAUAACGUCUCAGUUCGGAUUGUAGUCUGCAACUCGACUACAUGAAGCUGGAAUCGCUAGUAAUCGCGAAUUAGCAUGUCGCGGUGAAUACGUUCCCGGGUCUUGCACA